GAGGGUAUAGCUCAGUGGUAGAGCACGUUCUAGCAUGAACGAGGUCCUGGGUUCAAUCCCCAGUACUUCCA
Molecule: transfer RNA, 71 nt
Filed under: Camelus bactrianus (Bactrian camel)
Lineage: Eukaryota; Metazoa; Chordata; Mammalia; Artiodactyla; Camelidae
Also listed under: 2 other names
Rfam family: tRNA
About the family: Transfer RNA (tRNA) molecules are approximately 80 nucleotides in length. Their secondary structure includes four short double-helical elements and three loops (D, anti-codon, and T loops).
Source: Rfam by way of RNAcentral